UGGGGAAAUAUUGGACAAUGGGCGCAAGCCUGAUCCAGCCAUGCCGCGUGAGUGAUGAAGGCCUUAGGGUUGUAAAGCGCUUUCGCUAGGGAAGAUAAUGACUGUACCUAGUAAAGAAGCCCCGGCUAACUUCGUGCCAGCAGCCGCGGUAAUACGAAGGGGGCUAACGUUGUUCGGAUUUACUGGGCGUAAAGCGUACGUAGGCGGAUUAGAAAGUUAGGGGUGAAAUCCCGAGGCUCAACCUCGGAACUGCCUCUAAAACUCCUAGUCUAGAGAUCGGGAGAGGUGUAUGGAACUCCUAGUGUAGAGGUGGAAUUCGUAGAUAUUAGGAAGAACACCAGUGGCGAAGGCGAUACACUGGCCCGAUACUGACGCUGAGGUACGAAAGCGUGGGGAGCGAACAGGAUUAGAUACCCUGGUAGUCCACGCCGUAAACUAUGAGAGCUAGCCGUUGGGAAGUUUACUUCUCAGUGGCGCAGCUAACGCAUUAAGCUCUCCGCCUGGGGAGUACGGUCGCAAGAUUA
This 524-nucleotide ribosomal RNA is filed under the name uncultured Alphaproteobacteria bacterium. RNAcentral describes it as "bacterial SSU rRNA". It matches the Rfam family "Bacterial small subunit ribosomal RNA", at positions 354 to 896 of the family's 1533-position model. Lineage: Bacteria; Pseudomonadati; Pseudomonadota; Alphaproteobacteria. The record is from RNAcentral.